UCAAACAAAAGAAUAAAUGUUUUCAUUCCGACAACAUAAGUUCAAAAAUGAUAGCUGACUCGGUGUGGAUCAAGCUUACCCACACCGAUUUAAAAGUACGACCGCCAACAGAAGUGGCCAGAGUAUAUUACAGGUAAACACUCGGCAUACCAAGGAUAAAGUUCGAUCAUGCAUCAGCUGGGCCGGCGUCAGGACUGGAGGGCUCCACAAAAGUGUCCAAGUCGAUUCCAUCUGCG
RNAcentral lists this long non-coding RNA (236 nucleotides) under Hordeum vulgare. Its description in RNAcentral is "long non-coding RNA (HVUL_LNC001794)". The record is from RNAcentral. Lineage: Eukaryota; Viridiplantae; Streptophyta; Magnoliopsida; Poales; Poaceae.